CAGUCGCCGCGGGAAUACGAAGGGUGCAAGCGUUAAUCGGAAUUACUGGGCGUAAAGGGUGCGUAGGCGGUCCGUUAAGACAGAUGUGAAAUCCCCGGGCUUAACCUGGGAACUGCAUUUGUGACUGGCGGGCUAGAGUAUGGCAGAGGGGGGUAGAAUUCCACGUGUAGCAGUGAAAUGCGUAGAGAUGUGGAGGAAUACCGAUGGCGAAGGCAGCCCCCUGGGCCAAUACUGACGCUCAUGCACGAAAGCGUGGGGAGCAAACAGGAUUAGAUACCCCCGUAGUCCCUGUCUCUUAUAU
This 301-nucleotide ribosomal RNA is filed under the name uncultured bacterium. RNAcentral's name for it is "partial 16S ribosomal RNA". It matches the Rfam family "Bacterial small subunit ribosomal RNA", at positions 509 to 809 of the family's 1533-position model. The record is from RNAcentral.